CUGGGCCCAGUUUGAAAACCGCUGGAGCCCAGAAUUUUUCAUUAGAAUUUUGAAAACUCAGUGUUUUGAAUUGAAUAACUUGAAGGUUUAACAUAAUUUAGCUAACAAGAGAAGGGCUGCAAUGAAGAAGAUGGGACUAGUCCCAACAAAAGAGGAGUACAUAGAUGAAGAGGAGCUGCCCCCUGAGAACAAUGAGGAGGGUCCUAUCAUAGCGAGCAUAGUUGGUGGCUGCUCCUCUGAUCCAGGAGAUACAGCUGGCUGCAGCAGUUAUGUCAAAGUGACUGAACAUGGACUGGCCCUACUUCAGCCACCUGUGUUAUCAGACGAAGAGCUGGACUCUGAACCUGUGGAAGAUGUUAAGACACUAUACAAGAAGUAUCUCAAAAUAGAGAUCUCAAACAGAAAGCAAGAAAUGGCAUACAGAGCUUUAAAAAUGCGCAAAGUGGAGAAAGAAAUUCAGUUACUUGACAGGAAAUUGGAUGUAAGUGUG
This 490-nucleotide long non-coding RNA is filed under the name Sinocyclocheilus anshuiensis. RNAcentral's name for it is "lncRNA (ENSSANG00000044759.1)". The record is from RNAcentral. Lineage: Eukaryota; Metazoa; Chordata; Actinopteri; Cypriniformes; Cyprinidae.